RNAcentral lists this long non-coding RNA (3593 nucleotides) under Nicotiana tabacum (common tobacco). Its description in RNAcentral is "long non-coding RNA (NTAB_LNC018855)". Lineage: Eukaryota; Viridiplantae; Streptophyta; Magnoliopsida; Solanales; Solanaceae. The record is from RNAcentral.
AAUUACAAUUAAAACGUCAUGCUGUAUUUACAUCACAUAGGCAGAUAACCAUAUCAGUAUAUCUAUCAACUAUCUUCAUUAACCCUAAAACAACCAAUAACAUCUGUAUUCCUAACCCAAGACAGUAUGGACUAUUGAUGCCAAGGACAAUAACCACAAACUAUCCUAAACUGAAAAUGUGCAUAUUGAACAUUUGAGAGUGCCAACUGAUUUAUUACAACAACAUUCUAACUUUAAAAGGAAAGCACCAAACUAUUACACUAGAAUCCUAUUUUUGAAAGGGAAAUUAUAAACUAAUUCUAUUACAAUUCAUAGGAAAUUAGCAGUCUAAUGAAGUCUUGCCCCUUUGGAUAUAGUUGAUCCAACCAAGGCCUGAUUCACCACCUGGAGCCACCACUUUUAGCAUGAUAUCAACAGCAGUAUUUCAGCUCUUAGCUUUUGAACUUGCUGAUUUGGCCAACUAGUGGCCAAAUCCAUAGGUUAUAGCUCAUGGUUAGCAAGACAAACCCCAAAUGACCUCAAGUAAACACCAUGUUAUUCAUCAUCAGAAGAAGAAGGGAAGAAAUGGCUUCAAUAACUAAUAUUCAGAAUCAGUGUUAAUCAUGAAGAACAUAUGCAAAAUCAGUUCUAUCACUGCAAGAUUUUAACUAAAGAAAUAACUUCAAACAAACCACUAAAAUCAGCACUUCCCAUUUUAAGGGAAAAGCUACCAGUAUUAAUGUACUAUCAAAACUAGAUCAUUUUUUCAACCUUAGGAUCAUAUAACAAAAGAUUUAAUCAGACCCAUAGCAGUAUAAUCAGUAACUGACAUGAAAUGACAUUUAUUUAACACACAUAGUUGUAACUUUAUUGAUAUUAUAUCAUUCCAAAUAGGCAGUAUAUCAGAAGAGGUAAAAUCAGUACCUUAACAACAUCAAAAAACCAGCAGUCAACAGAUGAAAUGUUGAUUGAAACUUUAAAGAGGGAGCAUCAACCAAAACCAAAUAACAACAGUAAGAAACCAACCCAGAAAACCAAGAAACAACACCCAAACUUCUCAGAAAUCAGAGUAUUUGAGAAAUCUGCCUAAAAUCUAACUAGGAAAACUGAUGCUUUUUCCAUAAAGUUUUAAGGAUUUUUUUUUGUAUUCUGAAAAUUUUCAGGUGCAGAUAUGCUGAUGAAUGUGUGUGAGAAUGAGCGAAUAGCUUUCCUUUUAUAGGGUAUAUCCAAAAUAGAAUCAAAAGAAUAUUCUACCCUAAAUUUCUUAGAUAGUACAACAUAUUUUGACAGAGAAUAAUGGAUAACUGUCCAAUUUUUCAGCAUCUUUUAAACAAUUUUGGUCAGCUGGUACACUUCUAGAAUCUUUCUUUUCCUAGAUAUUUUCUUCUAAAAUUUCUGAAAUCAUCCUAAAUAUCCUUUUAGUUCAAUUAGAUCCUUACAAGUUUCUAAUGAUUUACAAAUCAAGCAAACAGGGACAUGGCCAGCAAUUAACCGAAAUCAAAUCAAAACAAUAAUCAAGCAAUAAAAUAAUGCAAUUGAAUCCUACAAUAUUAAGCAUCCAAAAACCUAAAUUAAACUAAACCCUAGCAUGAAUCAAAUCGUGAUGGAAUCAGCAGGAAUUUCAUGCAAUGAAACUCCUAAAACAUGCUAAUUCAUAUUAACAUAAGCAAGACAAACAAACACAUAAAACUGGAACACUGAAAAUCCUAAAUUAAUCUAAUUUGCAAAAUUAAACUAAUUAUCUAUUCAUAAUAAUUACAAAAUUAGUUAAACCUAAAUUAAUGAAGUGGAAAUUACUAAUCUAAUAUUAAAAGCUAAAAAUGUAAAAUGAAUGAUAUUUUUUGUGAUUUUCAUUUCAAUAAAGCAAAUAAUUAACCAAUUAAUUCUAAAAUAUGAACACAAAAUCUAAUAUGCAAUGCAUGAUAUUUUUAAUAUUUUUGGGGCAUUUUUUCAUGAUUUUUAAAUAAAUUAAAUGUGCACAAAAUGCAAACAAUUAAUAAAAUCUCAACAGUAUCGGCAUAUAGCCUAAACAUGAUUUCUAGCAUGAUAAACAACUUCAUUACUUUAUCACAUGAUGAAAACACUGUCACACCUCCUUUUUACCCGAAAAGGGAUAGGGAGUUUUUCUAAUUAAAGUGACAUAAAUCGAAAUGUGAUUAUUUAUUCAAUUCAGAGUCGCCACUUGAGAUAAUAUAUGGUGUCCCAAGUUACCGGUUUAUUUUAAAUCCCAAAUCGAGGAAAGUUUGACUCCGUUUAAUGUCUGCGAAAACCAGAAGACCGGGUAAGGAAUUCUAUUAACUUGGGAGAAGGUGUGAGGCACUCCCGAGUUCCGUGAUUUUAGCACAGUCACUCAACUAUUAAUAAUUGGCCUAAUUAUCUGAUUAAUUACAUGUUUUAAACCUAUUGUGCAUUUUUAAGUUUAUAAUCGCUUUUAUUUAUAUAAGGAGUUAUUUCUGGAACAAGUCACGAUUGUCGUACACUUGUUGUUUUGGUACACAUUAUAAACUGCGUCAGGGGAACCGUACCCGCGAUCUACAACAUGUUUAUUUUUAUUAUUUAUCAAAGUUAUGGUCGAUUCACGUGAAACGCACACUCGAAUUGAGAAUUACGUAUCAUGAUUAUGCCAAAGGAACCGUACCCAUAGUCACGAUAAUUCAUUUAUGCGCCUAAAAGUUUGCCUACCCAUGUGUUGAUGGCCUAAACAUGCUACUAGCGAUUAAACUAGUAGAAUAAAACAAUUAGCAUGCUAAACUUAACUUUCAUUAUUAACGUCCAACCCCCACAACCAAAUUCAUCAGAUUAUUUAAUGAAUAAAAACUACUAUUUCUUAGCUUAAACCUUAUUUAAUAUUUAAAUAAUACUAAUUCAAAUUAUGUAAUUAAACCAUAAUCUAGAACAAUUAAAAAUCUACUUUAAAUUCCGAACACUAGCAAACAAACAAUAUAUCAAACAUGUAAUCACCAAAUUUAUACUAUCUAAAAUCAAGCAUAGGACAAAACACUAAGAGAAAUAAGGCAAGAAUUGGACCUCAAGUGAGCAGAGACAGCUUCAAAACUCGGUUAAAUAUGAAAUUCCAGGCCCAGCAAUUUACAACAGAAGGCCAACUCGAACCACAAAAAUAAAUGGUAAACCUUUCACCGAAGCUUCGAACGGAUCUCACACGACUUAGCCUCAAUCGAAUACCAGUGAAAACCAAAGGUCCGAAUUUGAAGAGAAGAAAUAGAAAUAUUUUGUAUAUUAAUUCAAAACAGAAACAUUGGCUCCUUCAUCCAUUUUUGUCGAAAUCUGAAGGCCAACAAAAAAUUGGACAACAAAUUUAAAAGCAAAAAUAUUCCCCAAAGCCUUAAUACCUUUCUGUCUCUCCACCUGCGUGCAUGUGUAUGGGAUUGUUGAUUUUGGCCAAGGAAUUAGAAAUUGAUGUGAUUUUGGGGAUUUUUGGUUUAAUCCUUUUUGGGUUUUUAGUUAACAUGUGGAAAAGUUGGACCAGGCGCUAGGGAGAUAGGGUGGUGCGGCAGUGGUGGUUGACCUUAGGGGUGGGCCGCUGGUCUUCUUCUCUAGGGUAUAUGUGUUAGGGUGUAUAUGCUAAAGGGUCUAGGUUAAAGGAUGGAGUAAUG